RNAcentral lists this transfer RNA (66 nucleotides) under Wallacidia oculata. Its description in RNAcentral is "tRNA-Gln". The record is from RNAcentral. Lineage: Eukaryota; Metazoa; Arthropoda; Insecta; Hymenoptera; Mutillidae.
UAUAUUAUGGUGUAAGGCACUUAGGGUUUUGAUCUCUAUGGUAAUAGAUUAAUCUAUUUAAUAUAU